RNAcentral lists this ribosomal RNA (443 nucleotides) under uncultured bacterium. RNAcentral's name for it is "partial 16S ribosomal RNA". It matches the Rfam family "Bacterial small subunit ribosomal RNA", at positions 338 to 795 of the family's 1533-position model. The record is from RNAcentral.
CCUACGGGUGGCAGCAGUGGGGAAUAUUGGACAAUGGGGGGAACCCUGAUCCAGCGACGCCGCGUGAGUGAAGAAGUAUUUCGGUAUGUAAAGCUCUAUCAGCAGGGAAGAAAGCAAUGACGGUACCUGACUAAGAAGCCCCGGCUAACUACGUGCCAGCAGCCGCGGUAAUCCGGCGGGGGCAAGCGUUAUCCGGAUUUACUGGGUGUAAAGGGAGCGUAGACGGUUACGCAAGUCUGGCGUGAAAGGCGGGGGCUCAACCCCCGGACUGGUUAGGAUACUGUAUAACUGGAGUGCAGGGGAGGUAAGUGGAAUGCCUAGUGUAGCGGUGAAAUGCGUAGAUAUUAGGAGGAACACCAGUGGCGAAGGCGGCUUACCGGACUGUAACUGACGUUGAGGCUCGAAAGCGUGGGGAGCAAACAGGAUUAGAUACCCGAGUAGUC